RNAcentral lists this long non-coding RNA (376 nucleotides) under Homo sapiens (human). Its description in RNAcentral is "HSALNT0305640". Lineage: Eukaryota; Metazoa; Chordata; Mammalia; Primates; Hominidae. The record is from RNAcentral.
GAAACACCUGAGGAUAGAGCUCAGUUCCCACCUCCUGGGUGGGUGGUUGAGCACUGUGAUGGGGGGAAGUGGCUGACUGUGUGUCUCAUUGGCUGGCUGCUUCCUGAUGGGGCUGCAUCAAGUCUCCCAUUUCCACUUUGGCUAAGAGUUUGCUGAGGGCCACCAGUUUGCAACUUCUGCCUGAAAGGAAAGUAGAACUUGGCUGGAAGACAGAAUUAUGAAGAGACCAGAUAUAGACAUUGUUCACAAUAACAAAGACAGGGACCCAACUUAAAUGUGUAUCAAAAGAUGAAGGAAUAAAGAAAAUGUGAUACACAUACACAGAGGAGCACUAUUCAACCAUAAAAGCAGAAAUUCUUUCAUGUGCUGCAACAUG